ACGAACGCUGGCGGCACGCCUAACACAUGCAAGUCGAGCGCCCCUUUCGGGGGGAGGUGGCGGACGGGUGAGUAACGCGUGGGAACCUGCCCCGUGGUGGGGGACAACCCAGGGAAACCUGGGCUGAUACCGCAUAAGCCCAGUGGCUGUAGUGGCCAUUGGGGAAAGAUUUAUCGCCACGGGAUGGGCCCGCGUCGGAUUAGGUAGUUGGUGGGGUAACGGCCCACCAAGCCUGCGAUCCGUAGCUGGUCNGAGAGGACGAUCAGCCACACUGGGACUGAGACACGGCCCAGACUCCUACGGGAGGCAGCAGUGGGGAAUCUUGGACAAUGGGGGAAACCCUGAUCCAGCGAUGCCGCGUGAGCGAAGAAGGCCUUAGGGUUGUAAAGCUCUUUCGCCCGCGACGAUAAUGACGGUAGCGGGAGAAGAAGCCCCGGCUAACUCCGUGCCAGCAGCCGCCGUAAG
This 465-nucleotide ribosomal RNA is filed under the name uncultured bacterium. Its description in RNAcentral is "bacterial SSU rRNA". It matches the Rfam family "Bacterial small subunit ribosomal RNA", at positions 29 to 524 of the family's 1533-position model. The record is from RNAcentral.